UUUUGGGGAUUCUGAUACAGUCAUGAAGUAUUGAUUUAGUCUGUUAUCUAAUAGUAUACAAAGUCUACACUAACAUAGGGUAGUCUAAAAUAAGUAACAAAAUGGUACCAUUAAGAAAGAUUUGUCAUUAUUUCCUUUAUGCAUGUGAAAUAAAUAUAUUUUCAAAAUACGCCUAAUUUACACAUGCAACUUUCUUUUUAAUGUUGUUGCCAAAACUGGAUCUUCCUUCUUCCGAUGGAAAAAAUCAAAGCCAUGCACAGCACUAGCGAGAGCUCUCCAGAGAUGGAGAAGCAUGAGUAAGUUAUACCUAGAGAACAUUACACAUUCAAAUAUCAGCUCCGCAUUUUUCAUCCAAGGUAACUGAAAGACUUACUCUACUCAAAAACAAAUUCCAGGCUGUGAUGGUCCCAAAAGCCAUAAAGCUAACUACUUGUAAUGAUCUCUGUUCCCUACAUAGAAGUCAACACCCCCAACAGACUGGACAUUCUUAUGGCACCUAAACUAGAGCAAACUUCUCAGAGAAAUGUGUUUGGUAGUUGCAAUAAUCCUCAAACACGACUCUCUCAGGGAGCCAUUCCCGGGCAGAGCUAAAGUAAGACAGCUGUCUCUUCAGACAGCUGUGA
Molecule: long non-coding RNA, 623 nt
Filed under: Bos taurus (domestic cattle)
Lineage: Eukaryota; Metazoa; Chordata; Mammalia; Artiodactyla; Bovidae
Description: long non-coding RNA NONBTAT006570
Source: RNAcentral